CUUGCGUGCCCCAGCGACACAGGCCUCGAGGCUGUCUCUGACAAGUGUUCACAGGAGGUGGGGACGCCUCUGCGCGAGGAACGAGGAGCUACGGGCCUGGGCCCGGUUAUUGCCAUGGGCAGCGGCUGCCGCAUCGAAUGCAUAUUCUUCAGCGAGUUCCACCCCACGCUGGGACCCAAGAUCACCUAUCAGGUGCCACCCGGGCUCGCGGGACUGGGCGGGGAGAGGGACGUUCUCGAGAGCUCAACUGGCUGCCUGAAGGCAGUAGUUUCCCGUGCUGCACGCAGGCAUGCUACUUCAUUCGCAGACAACUGUGAGGCUAGAGGAUAGUCAGACCCAGGCCCCCGGCUCCCAAUGUGGCAGGGAAGACAUACGUCACAUUGGCAGUGUUUGUAGGAUAUCGGGCUGUAGGGAUCCGGUUGGGGGGUUCCAGGUCCCACAGAAGGUGAGUUGGGUGACCCAUGAGUAUCCCUGAACUGAGUGAAGAGUAAAUGAUGCAUAGGAAGUUUAGAUAAGGCAGGAGAAAGUGUUCCAGGUAGAGGGAACAGCAUAUGCAGAAGCCAGGAAGGAGGUGAGAUCAUAGCGUAUGUUUGGAAACAGAAAGAAGUAAUAGGCCUGAGUGGAUGGGAGAGAGGGGAACGCUGGAGAAGAGGACUUGGGCUUGGGGGGCAUGAGGAGGUCACCAUUUGUACUACACACAGUACAGAUGUCCACUGACGGGCCCAUUGCCACUCCCCUCCCCAGGUCCCUGAAGACUUCAUCUCCCGAGAGCUGUUUGACACAGUCCAAGUGUAUAUCAUCACCAAGCCAGAGCUGCAAAACAAGCUUAUCACUCUAUGGAAAAGAAGCUGAUCGGCUGUCCUGUGUGCAUCGAACACAAGAAGUACAGCCGCAAUGCUCUCCUCUUCAACCUGGGCUUCGUGUGUGAUGCCCAGGCCAAGACCUGCGCCCUCGAGCCCAUUGUUAAAAAGCUGGCUGGCUAUCUGACCACACUAGAGAGAGCAGCUUCGUGUCCACGGAGGAGAGCAAGCAGAAGUUGGUGCCCAUCAUGACCAUCUUGCUGGAGGAGCUAAAUGCCUCAGGCCGGUGCACUCUGCCCAUUGAUGAGUCCAACACCAUCCACUUGAAGGUGAUUGAGCAGCGGCCAGACCCUCCGGUGGCCCAGGAGUAUGAUGUACCUGUCUUUACCAAAGACAAGGAGGAUUUCUUCAACUCACAGUGGGACCUCACUACACAACAAAUCCUGCCCUACAUUGAUGGGUUCCGCCACAUCCAGAAGAUUUCAGCAGAGGCAGAUGUGGAGCUCAACCUGGUGCGCAUUGCUAUCCAGAACCUGCUGUACUACGGCGUUGUGACACUGGUGUCCAUCCUCCAGUACUCCAAUGUAUACUGCCCAACGCCCAAGGUCCAGGACCUGGUAGAUGACAAGUCCCUGCAGGAGGCAUGUCUAUCCUACGUGACCAAGCAAGGUAGUGGUGGGUUCUGGGGGAAGCCAUCUUGGGGAGGGCAGGGCCACAUGAUGAGCUGAUCCCUGGCACCCACAGGGCACAAGAGGGCCAGUCUCCGGGAUGUGUUCCAGCUAUACUGCAGCCUGAGCCCUGGCACUACCGUGCGAGACCUCAUUGGCCGCCACCCCCAGCAGCUGCAGCAUGUUGAUGAACGGAAGCUGAUCCAGUUCGGGCUUAUGAAGAACCUCAUCAGGCGACUACAGAAGUAUCCUGUGCGGGUGACUCGGGAAGAGCAGAGCCACCCUGCCCGGCUUUAUACAGGCUGCCACAGCUAUGACGAGAUCUGCUGCAAGACAGGCAUGAGCUACCAUGAGCUGGAUGAGCGGCUUGAAAAUGACCCCAACAUCAUCAUCUGCUGGAAGUGAGGCUGGUAGUGACUGGAUGGACACAUUGCUGUGGGUAGUCCCUCCUACUAGGAGGCUUGUCAUACUGUCUAGAGGUUGACUCUUAGUUCUGUAAAUAAAGACAUCCA
This 1980-nucleotide small RNA is filed under the name Pan troglodytes (chimpanzee). RNAcentral's name for it is "retained intron". The record is from RNAcentral. Lineage: Eukaryota; Metazoa; Chordata; Mammalia; Primates; Hominidae.